This is a long non-coding RNA of Lagopus leucura (white-tailed ptarmigan), 904 nucleotides long. RefSeq lists it as uncharacterized. Lineage: Eukaryota; Metazoa; Chordata; Aves; Galliformes; Phasianidae. The transcript is spliced from 3 exons. The record is from RefSeq and is a predicted model, not a curated record.
GAGGGCUCUGUGGGUGUUCUUCAGCCAGGAACCUAACUGGAUGGUGGAAGCGUGGUGCUCCUGGUUCUAGAGUUCUCAUUUUGUGCAAUGGAGGUUAAAAAGGGCAGUAUGUCAGGUGCCUCUGCUCUAGCAGGUCAAGAAGACUGGGCAGAACACCUUCUAUGUCACUUCUCCCAAGAUCUCUCAGAGCAACAACUGAACGCUUGUCAGGCAGCAUCCAAAAGCAGGACCCAACCUGUGGGAUCUGAAAUGUUGGGGCCUGACCCAGGGCAGUUAAUUGCUGCCAGUGAACGAGGAGGGCAGAGAAGAAGCUGUGGGAAUUGGCUUUGUGGAGUGCAGCCCAGAGGCAGAUCUCAGAGGGUCGUGUCUGUGCACCAAGGGCAGCUGUGAGGAAAAGCCCUUCUCCACAAAGCACCCUGUGUUUCCUGGCAUGCUAAUCUCUCCAGCUCCUGGGGAACAGCUACAAGCAGAAGAACAGCCAGGCAUGCCUCCUUGCAAGCCUCAGGUACAAGGAGGAAGAUCCAACAACGCAGUUGGAAUGGCUUAUGCCCCCCUGGGCAUCCAUCUCUUCAGAUCCUGGUGGAAAAACCCCAUUCCCAGUUUGUCUUAGGUUGAAGCCUCCUAGGUAACAAAGGGCUGACUCACAGUGCUGAGAACCCUUGUAUAGAUGGUCUGUUCUGAUGUUGCUUUGAUAAAUCUUGCUAUGGCCCAGCAUGUAAUGUCUUCCUAACAAGGGAAAAGCUGAGAUUGCAACACAUCUGAUGUAAAACUUUUUAAAAUAGCCCUCAGUGAGGGCUUUUCACAAUCAGCCUGGAUGACUUUGCUGGUGAAGUUGAAAAGGAGUAAUGAUGACAGCGCCAGUGCUUUUUCCCUGUGCAUAUGUGUAACUUAACAUAUGUUUGAA